AUUGAACGCUGGCGGCAUGCUUUACACAUGCGAGUCGAACGGUAACAGGCCUUCGGGUGCUGACGAGUGGCGAACGGGUGCGUAAUGCAUCGGAACGUACCCAGAGGUGGGGGAUAACGCAGCGAAAGCUGUGCUAAUACCGCAUGUGAUCUGAGGAUGAAAGCGGGGGACCGAGCAGCAAUGUUUGGCCUCGCGCCUUUGGAGCGGCCGAUGUCGGAUUAGCUAGUUGGUGGGGUAAAGGCCUACCAAGGCGACGAUCCGUAGCUGGUCUGAGAGGACGACCAGCCACACUGGGACUGAGACACGGCCCAGACUCCUACGGGAGGCAGCAGUGGGGAAUUUUGGACAAUGGGCGCAAGCCUGAUCCAGCAAUGCCGCGUGCGGGAAGAAGGCCUUCGGGUUGUAAACCGCUUUUGGCAGGAACGAAACGGUGUCCGCUAAUACCGGGCGCUAAUGACGGUACCUGCAGAAUAAGCACCGGCUAACUACGUG
This 492-nucleotide ribosomal RNA is filed under the name uncultured bacterium. RNAcentral's name for it is "partial 16S ribosomal RNA". It matches the Rfam family "Bacterial small subunit ribosomal RNA", at positions 29 to 507 of the family's 1533-position model. The record is from RNAcentral.